Molecule: unclassified non-coding RNA, 405 nt
Filed under: soil metagenome
Description: partial contains 5.8S ribosomal RNA, internal transcribed spacer 2, and large subunit ribosomal RNA
Rfam family: 5.8S ribosomal RNA (bases 1-121)
Source: RNAcentral
GAUGAAGAACGUAGUGAAAUGCGAUAAGUAAUGUGAAUUGCAGAAUUCAGUGAAUCAUCGAAUCUUUGAACGCACCUUGCGCCCUUUGGCCAUUCCGAAGGGCAUGCCUGUUUGAGUAUCAUGAACACCUCAACUCUUUAUGGUUUUCCAUGAUGAGCUUGGACUCUGGGGGUUUUGCUGGCUCACAGUCGGCUCCUCUAAAAUGAAUCAGCUUACCAGUGUUUGGUGGGUAUCAUGGGUGUGAUAACUAUCUACGCUUGUGGUUUUUCCACCAGGUAACCUUCAGCAGUGGAGGUUCGCUGGAGCUCGUAGAUGUCUCUCCUCAGUGAGGACAGCCCUUUGAAUGUUUGAUCUCAAAUCAGGUAGGACUACCCGCUGAACUUAAGCAUAUCAAUAAGCGGAGGA